UUGACGGGGCCCGCACAGCGGUGAGCAUGUGGUUUAAUUCGACGCAACGCGAAGAACCUUACCAGGGCUUGACAUCCCCUGACCGCGUAUGAAAGUACGUUUUCACCCUCGGGUGACAGGGAGACAGGUGGUGCAUGGUUGUCGUCAGCUCGUGUCGUGAGAUGUUGGGUUAAGUCCCGCAACGAGCGCAACCCCUACGUUUAGUUGCUAACGCGUGAAGGCGAGCACUCUAGACGAACUGCCGUUGACAAAACGGAGGAAGUGGGGAUGACGUCAAAUCAUCAUGCCCCUUAUGUUCUGGGCUACACACGUGCUACAAUGGCCGGUACAGACGGACGCAAAGCCGCGAGGCGGAGCAAAUCCGAAAAAGCCGGUCUCAGUUCGGAUUGCAGGCUGCAAUUCGCCUGCAUGAAGUCGGAAUCGCUAGUAAUCGCAGGUCAGCAUACUGCGGUGAAUACGUUCCCGGGCCUU
This 471-nucleotide ribosomal RNA is filed under the name uncultured Pelotomaculum sp. RNAcentral describes it as "bacterial SSU rRNA". It matches the Rfam family "Bacterial small subunit ribosomal RNA", at positions 910 to 1382 of the family's 1533-position model. Lineage: Bacteria; Bacillati; Bacillota; Clostridia; Eubacteriales; Desulfotomaculaceae. The record is from RNAcentral.